CAAGUAUGGUGCUAAUUCAACGUUUUAUUUUUACUUCUACUCAGGAGGGGAGCUGUAUUAUUGCCGCCAAAAAGGCACAGACCAGGCAGUCCAAGUGAAGGUUGUCUGUGGUGCUGAAGAGGCAAAUGAAAUUUUUAAGAGUUUUCAUGCCAGCCCGGCAGGGGCACACACCGGGCAAAAUAAAACAAGACACAGCAUCUCUCUGAGAUAUUACUGGCCAGCGAUGUCUGUUGACAUUAAUGAGUGGGUGUCCCAGUGCACCGAAUGUCAGGCAGCCGGCAUAUCAAUAAAAAGCCCAACAGAGGUCAUGCCUAUACAGGUCAGUUAAUCCAAAUAAUGUUCUCUAUUUUGACCCAAGGUCUAUAUAGUAUUUUGUAUGUGGCAUACUUUAUAUAACUAUUUUUCUCAGCAACAUCAGUUUAACACAAUUUGUUUUUAUAAAUAUUUAUUUAUUAGGUGUCUCAGCCAUUCGAACUCUUGGGGAUGGACCUCAUUGGCAAACUGGCUCAGACAAAAGAUGGAUACCAAUAUAUUUGCGUGAUGGUCGAUUAUUUCACGAAAUGGCCUCAAGCCCAUCCAUUGAGGUCGAAGUCUGCUGCUGAUGUUACCGCCUGUAUCCUAAAAUUCGUCUACCAAUUUGAGUCGCCAAAAAGGAUCUUGACAGAUCAAGGCAAAGAAUUUGUCAAUGCAAUCAACAAGAGAGUAUGUGAAAUGCUUGACAU
This is a long non-coding RNA of Syngnathus acus (greater pipefish), 722 nucleotides long. RefSeq lists it as uncharacterized. The transcript is spliced from 3 exons. Lineage: Eukaryota; Metazoa; Chordata; Actinopteri; Syngnathiformes; Syngnathidae. The record is from RefSeq and is a predicted model, not a curated record.